UAUGUGCUUCUCCCGCUCCUGCCCGGCUUCGAGGGGGACAUCGCGCAGGGCGGGAGUAACUCCAUCCAGGCCAUCCUUCACUUCACUUACCGGACUCUGUGCCGCGGAGAGUCGUCCAUCGUCCGCCGCCUCCAGGCAGGGAUGGGGGAGGCCUGGAGGGACUACAUCUCGUUUUGCGGCCUCCGGACUCACGGGGAGCUGCGGGGCGUCCUCCUGAC
This is a non-coding RNA of Pseudonaja textilis, 218 nucleotides long. The record is from RefSeq and is a predicted model, not a curated record. NCBI's taxonomy places the organism in Eukaryota, Metazoa, Chordata, Lepidosauria, Squamata, Elapidae.